GGUUAAACCCAGUAGUUUUUUGUGCAUUUUUAUCAGAGGAGCAAUCGAACAUUCCAUAGUUGCAUCGCCGACUUUCAAUGAGGGAAAUCAGGCUCGGUCCAAAUGGGUCUUCAGCUACUAGACUUGAUGGCCUUAACAGAGGGCAGUAGUUCCCCUAGGACGACUGAGAAUGAGGGAAUUUCAGCACCGGGUGGCAUCGCAGGGCAUUCGCCCCAAGAGCUGUCUCGGCCACAGAGUGCUAGUCUCGCCAGAAUGCACGAGUGCUCUGACAUUGGAGGGCCCCGUCUUUUCUCAGAACAGGAUGUCCAAUGCGUCCUAUUUUGGCGUCAUCUCUGCCACACCAGUGAUGUUUUCAAGUUCUGUUGGACGCUGUUUGUGUACACCAAAGGCAAUUUCCAUAUGAUUGGAGAUGAUCUGGUCAAC
Molecule: long non-coding RNA, 423 nt
Organism: Ictalurus punctatus (channel catfish)
Lineage: Eukaryota; Metazoa; Chordata; Actinopteri; Siluriformes; Ictaluridae
Source: Ensembl